Molecule: long non-coding RNA, 562 nt
Organism: Etheostoma spectabile (orangethroat darter)
Lineage: Eukaryota; Metazoa; Chordata; Actinopteri; Perciformes; Percidae
Exons: 4
Source: RefSeq, a predicted model, not a curated record
GAAAAAAAGGAGACUGGCCUACUCUUGGAUUUAUGUAAAUGUCUUGGAUGCAUUUAACACAAUUAACUCAUGUUUUAAAGUUAAACGUAACUCUAUAGUGUAGAAACUACAUAAUAUGCAAAGAGGGUACGUGAAUUUGUUCAGAUCAUGUUGGCAUGAAGUGAGUCAAUAAAGAAGCGAUGUAAUUCUCGUGAUACCGCACGUGAUCUCGUCUGGCGCGCUUUACAUUGUUGCCAGAAGAAGCAGGCAACGGUCACAUCAAAGGGCUCGUCGUACUGUACUCCACGCCACUAUUCGGUCGAUUGACAGACAAACUCAACUCUGCAUUUCACCUGGAGUCAGUUGAUGGAUCGUGGGCUCAAGUUUUUGUGGGCUAGAAGUUUAAUGAGGUUGUAACGUGAAUGUUCUUGGAUUGCAAAUUUCAAACAACCGCCCUUUUUGAUGCAACGGAGAUAAACGCAGAGUUUAAGAGCAUCCCAGCCAUGCCUCUACAAUCAAAGUGUUUGCAAAGCGGCCGGGGAGCAGGGAAAAAAGCUGAAAGUCAUAUCUGCCAUGAUGACAG